AUGAAGUGGCGCCAAGCUUCUGGCAUUCUCUGUGACAAGAGAGUGCCACAAAAGCUAAAAGGCAAGUUCUACAGGACGGCGGUUCGACCCGCAAUGUUGUAUGGCGCGAAGUGUUGGCCGACUAAAAGGCGACAUGUUCAACAGUUAGGUGUGGUGGAGAUGCGUAUGUUGAGAUGGAUGUGUGGCCACACGAGGAAGGAUCGAGUCCGAAAUGAUGAUAUACGAGAUAGAGUUGGGGUAGCACCAAUUGUGGAGAAGCUUGUCCAACAUCGUUUGAGAUGGUUUGGGCAUAUUCAGCGCAGGCCUCCAGAAGCUCCAGUGCAU
Molecule: ribosomal RNA, 324 nt
Filed under: Triticum aestivum (bread wheat)
Lineage: Eukaryota; Viridiplantae; Streptophyta; Magnoliopsida; Poales; Poaceae
Description: partial small subunit ribosomal RNA
Source: RNAcentral